Molecule: ribosomal RNA, 329 nt
Filed under: uncultured bacterium
Lineage: Bacteria
Description: bacterial SSU rRNA
Rfam family: Bacterial small subunit ribosomal RNA
Source: RNAcentral
UUCGUAGGCGGUGCGGCAAGUCGGAAGUGAAAUCUCUGGGCUUAACCCAGAGGCUGCUCCCGAAACUGCCGUGCUUGAGUGCGGGAGAGGCCAGUGGAAUUGCAGGUGUAGCGGUGAAAUGCGUAGAUAUCUGCAGGAACACCCGUGGCGAAGGCGGCUGGCUGGACCGCAACUGACGCUGAGGAACGAAAGCUAGGGGAGCAAACAGGAUUAGAUACCCUGGUAGUCCUAGCCCUAAACGAUCAGGACUUGGGGUGCAUCCCGUCGGGGUGCGUCCCGUAGCUAACGCGUUAAGUCCUGCGCCUGGGGAGUACGGUCGCAAGGCUGAA